Molecule: long non-coding RNA, 610 nt
Filed under: Calidris pygmaea (Spoon-billed sandpiper)
Lineage: Eukaryota; Metazoa; Chordata; Aves; Charadriiformes; Scolopacidae
Description: lncRNA (ENSCPGG00000003203.1)
Source: RNAcentral
ACGAAAACAUAACAGGCUGCUUAGACUACUGCAGGUACUUCUGGUGGAAGCUUUGACCUGGCCUUGGUUUGCUAAGUGAGGCUUCUUUCCCCAGGUGUGAAGCUAUACAUCCUGAAUAUACAGAGCAAACAGCCUAGCUUCUUAUCCUGUGACCUCAUCAGCAUCAGAAUAUAGGGGUUGUUCAUUAAGGGGCUGCCUCACGGUAGAACAUGAGCAGGUAAUGCACAAGGAGCACCACUGGGAAUCAUGUCAGACGAGUCAAUCUCAGGGAGUGAUCCGGACCUGGACCCGGACUUGGAGCAGGAGGAUAUGGAAGAGGAGGAGGAGGAAGAUGAGGAGGAGGCGAUGGAGGAGGACAAUGAUGGGGAUGACGAGGAGGACUUACUUGAUGAGAGUGACAUUUAAACAACCUCUGCAAGCCUGGGAUGGAAGUCUGAAGCAGUAUGUGUUUGCCACAGUGAUCGUCUGAAAAGCAUUUGCAGAAGGCAGCGUGUUUCAUCACUACCUGUAUUUUGUGUGAUUAGAUUUUUGUUACAUCGCGUACAGCCUCCCACCCAGUCAUGAUUUAGAUGAGCGUGGGAAAGAAAAUAAACCAAGAUUUAUAUGAACA